RNAcentral lists this transfer RNA (78 nucleotides) under Mangrovihabitans endophyticus. RNAcentral's name for it is "tRNA-Glu". Lineage: Bacteria; Bacillati; Actinomycetota; Actinomycetes; Micromonosporales; Micromonosporaceae. The record is from RNAcentral.
UGCCGGCUACCUGAGCGAGCCGGACGGUCCGCUCUCGCCGGACGGGCACACCCGCGCGUUCGAUGCGCGCGCCGCCGG